RNAcentral lists this ribosomal RNA (239 nucleotides) under uncultured Lactobacillus sp. Its description in RNAcentral is "partial 16S ribosomal RNA". It matches the Rfam family "Bacterial small subunit ribosomal RNA", at positions 123 to 355 of the family's 1533-position model. Lineage: Bacteria; Bacillati; Bacillota; Bacilli; Lactobacillales; Lactobacillaceae. The record is from RNAcentral.
AACCUGCCCAAGAGAUCGGGAUAACACCUGGAAACAGAUGCUAAUACCGGAUAACAACAGAUGAUGCCUAUCAACUGUUUAAAAGAUGGUUCUGCUAUCACUCUUGGAUGGACCUGCGGCGCAUUAGCUAGUUGGUAGGGUAACGGCCUACCAAGGCGAUGAUGCAUAGCCGAGUUGAGAGACUGAUCGGCCACAUUGGGACUGAGACACGGCCCAAACUCCUACGGGAGGCAGCAGUU